Molecule: non-coding RNA, 69 nt
Filed under: Oscillibacter ruminantium
Lineage: Bacteria; Bacillati; Bacillota; Clostridia; Eubacteriales; Oscillospiraceae
Description: Glycine riboswitch
Rfam family: Glycine riboswitch aptamer
About the family: This family represents the bacterial glycine riboswitch. Glycine riboswitches usually consist of two metabolite-binding aptamers domains with similar structures in tandem.
Source: RNAcentral
GGAAAGCGAAAGCGCCGAAGGAGCAACCCGCCAACACGGGGAAUCUCUCAGGUAAACGAACAGGGUCGG